ACUGAACGCUGGCGGCAUGCCUUACACAUGCAAGUCGAACGGCAGCACGGGUGCUUGCACCUGGUGGCGAGUGGCUAACGGGAGAGUAAUUCAUCGGAACGUACCUUAUCGUGGGGGAUAAGGCAGCGAAUGCUGUGCCAAUACCGCAUACGCCCUGAGGGGGAAAGCGGGGGAUCGCAAGACCUCGCCCGAUAAGAGCGGCCGAUGCAUGAUUAGCUUGUUGGUGGGGUAAAAGCCCACCAAGGCGACGAUCAAUAGCUGGUCUGAGAGGACGAUCAGCCACACUGGCACUGAGACACGGCCCAGGCUCCUACGGGAGGCAGCAGUGGGGGAUUUUGGACAAUGGGGGCUACCCUGAUCCAGCAAUGCCGCGUGAGUGAAGAAGGCCUUCGGGUUGUAAAGCUCUUUUGUCAGGGAAGAAACACCGGCUCUAACAAAGUCAGGGAAUGACGGUACCUGAAGAAUAAGCACCGGCUAACUACGUGCCAGCAGCCGCCGUAA
Molecule: ribosomal RNA, 501 nt
Filed under: uncultured bacterium
Lineage: Bacteria
Description: partial 16S ribosomal RNA
Rfam family: Bacterial small subunit ribosomal RNA
Source: RNAcentral